RNAcentral lists this transfer RNA (76 nucleotides) under Defluviicoccus sp. RNAcentral's name for it is "tRNA-Thr". It matches the Rfam family "tRNA". Rfam says of the family: Transfer RNA (tRNA) molecules are approximately 80 nucleotides in length. Their secondary structure includes four short double-helical elements and three loops (D, anti-codon, and T loops). The record is from RNAcentral. Lineage: Bacteria; Pseudomonadati; Pseudomonadota; Alphaproteobacteria; Rhodospirillales; Rhodospirillaceae.
GCCGGAUUAGCUCAGCUGGCAGAGCGGCUGAUUUGUAAUCAGCAGGUCGUCCGUUCGAAUCGGACAUCCGGCACCA